This 338-nucleotide long non-coding RNA is filed under the name Lathyrus oleraceus (garden pea). Its description in RNAcentral is "Pisum sativum (pea) long non-coding RNA (PSAT_LNC004012)". The record is from RNAcentral. Lineage: Eukaryota; Viridiplantae; Streptophyta; Magnoliopsida; Fabales; Fabaceae.
UUUUUUAAAAGGUUAAUUUUAAGAGUCAUUUUACCUUUUUGGAUUGACAAUUAUGCAUCAACUAAAAAUAAAAUACAAUAAACUAAAAAAUAAAGCAAAUAGUAAAAAUAAAAAAAUAAAAAGAAUAAUAAAAGAGAGGGGCACACUAUCAAUACAAAAGGUAAAAGAAUUAAAAAACUAAAGAAAAUGAAAGAAAAAACAAAAAUAAAUAAAUAAAGCAAUAAUAAAAAUAAUAAAAAAUAAAAGAUAUAUAAAAGAUAAAAAUAGACUGAAAAUUGGGAGUGUAGCUAGGAAAAUGCUCUAGGUCCAAAGAAGGGAGCCUCAUAGGGGUGCGCUGA